AUGCUCAACUCUCCGGGGACACGGAGACCAGUGAAAGAAGCGCAAAAGUACGGUGAGGACUCUCAGAAAUCGCAUUCCCCCGGGACACCCGGCCCACGCUCGUCGGUCACUACGCUAUCAGCCUCCGCGCUCUCGGACUCCAGCAGCCCCGACACGCCGCCCAGGAGAGGGCCGGGCAGGCCGAGCACCCCGGCCCGCGCUCCCGCCACCAGCGCACCCAUGAUGUACUCACGGAGAGGGGUACGCAGAACCGCCCGUCCCGCCGGAGCCGACACCCGGAGCAGUGCAAAUCAACUCCCCCAGCCUAGCGGCGCGUGCGCGAAUGCGGACAGCGCGCCGCCUGCUGACGUCAGCGCCUGCCUACGCCGCCGUUCCCAUGGCGACCGAUGCGUCCCGCGCUCUAGGCGAAGACCGCGGCCCCGUCCCCGCGCCUCCACCGCCUUCUUCCAGGAGGAGGGGCCGUGCGGCGCCUGCCCGGGGGCCCUCAGGCCGCAGGCGGGCGCGAGCUUCAGGGAACUUAGGGGGCUCCCGCCUCCCCGGCCACGCGAGCGGGAACAGUCUCCUCCACUCGGAGCGGCGCCAUCUUCAGCUCUGAGUCACCAGGGCUGGAAAAAUACUAGAUGCGCUACUCGUGGACUCGUGAAUACACUCGUGAAUACAGGCCAUUUCCUGUACCUACAGCCACCCGCUCCACUCAUCAUGCCUUACCUGGAUGAUGCAGAAGUCCCUGGAAACAGAAGGUCUCACCCUUCUUUAUCUUUCUCAUGGCUUUCCAAGGCUCUUUAUCAUGUUACUUUCCUGCUCAGAAUUCUUUAAUGACUUGCCUCAAUGACCAGAUACAUGUGAUCUACAGUCAGCCUUCCAGCCUCAUCAUUCCUCUUCCAUUU
Molecule: long non-coding RNA, 887 nt
Filed under: Homo sapiens (human)
Lineage: Eukaryota; Metazoa; Chordata; Mammalia; Primates; Hominidae
Description: non-protein coding LINC00271:1
Source: RNAcentral